Molecule: long non-coding RNA, 169 nt
Organism: Triticum dicoccoides
Lineage: Eukaryota; Viridiplantae; Streptophyta; Magnoliopsida; Poales; Poaceae
Exons: 3
Source: RefSeq, a predicted model, not a curated record
AUUGAACUGGGCAAGAAAGAACUGGUGGUUGCUACGUUUGUUGUGACGCUGUUCAAGAAAUAUGAAGUUUUGAGAUUGGCCUUGAUAGCUGGUUAUCAUUGUACAAGACAUCUUAGCAUUAUGGCAGAACAAUUAUUAUGCGUCUAUCAAUGAUAACAAUGAUACCUGA